GAUGAACGCUGGCGGCGUGCCUAAUACACGCAAGUCGAGCGAACGGACGAGAAGCUUGCUUUUCUGAUGUUAGCGGCUGACGGGUGAGUAACACGUGGAUAACCUACCUAUAAGACUUGGAUAACUUCGGGAAACCGGAGCUACUACUGGAUAAUAUUUUGUACCGCAUGGUUCAAAAGUGAAAGACGGUCUUGCUGUCACUUAUAGAUGGAUCCGCGCUGCAUUAGCUAGUUGGUAAGGUAACGGCUUACCAAGGCAACGAUGCGUAGCCGACCUGAGAGGGUGAUCAGCCACACUGGAACUGAGACACGGUCCAGACUCCUACGGGAGGCAGCAGUAGGGAAUCUUCCGCAAUGGGCGAAAGCCUGACGGAGCAACGCCGCGUGAGUGAUGAAGGUCUUCGGAUCGUAAAACUCUGUUAUUAGGGAAGAAAAUAUGUGUAAGUAACUGUGCACAUCUUGACGGUACCUAAUCAGAAAGCCACGGCUAACUACGUG
Molecule: ribosomal RNA, 497 nt
Filed under: uncultured bacterium
Lineage: Bacteria
Description: partial 16S ribosomal RNA
Rfam family: Bacterial small subunit ribosomal RNA
Source: RNAcentral